Molecule: ribosomal RNA, 433 nt
Filed under: uncultured bacterium
Lineage: Bacteria
Description: partial 16S ribosomal RNA
Rfam family: Bacterial small subunit ribosomal RNA
Source: RNAcentral
AACGAACGCUGGCGGCAUGCCUAACACAUGCAAGUCGAACGAGACCUUCGGGUCUAGUGGCGCACGGGUGCGUAACGCGUGGGAACCUGCCCUUAGGUUCGGAAUAACUCCCCGAAAGGGGUGCUAAUACCGGAUAAUGUCUUCGGACCAAAGAUUUAUCGCCUUUGGAUGGGCCCGCGUUGGAUUAGCUAGUUGGUAGGGUAAAAGGCUACCAAGGGGACGAUCCAUAGCUGGUCUGAGAGGAUGAUCAGCCACACUGGGACUGAGACACGGCCCAGACUCCUACGGGAGGCAGCAGUGGGGAAUAUUGGACAAUGGGCGAAAGCCUGAUCCAGCAAUGCCGCGUGAGUGAUGAAGGCCUUAGGGUUGUAAAGCUCUUUUACCCGGGAUGAUAAUGACAGUACCGGGAGAAUAAGCUCCGGCUAACUCCGUG